GCCUUCAUAGCUCAGUCGGUAGAGCGUCGCCUUGGUAAGGCGGAGGUCACGGGUUCGAUUCCCGUUGUAGGCUCCA
Molecule: transfer RNA, 76 nt
Filed under: Clostridia bacterium
Lineage: Bacteria; Bacillati; Bacillota; Clostridia
Also listed under: 1 other name
Description: tRNA-Thr
Rfam family: tRNA
About the family: Transfer RNA (tRNA) molecules are approximately 80 nucleotides in length. Their secondary structure includes four short double-helical elements and three loops (D, anti-codon, and T loops). Further hydrogen bonds mediate the characteristic L-shaped molecular structure. tRNAs have two regions of fundamental functional importance: the anti-codon, which is responsible for specific mRNA codon recognition, and the 3' end, to which the tRNAs corresponding amino acid is attached (by aminoacyl-tRNA synthetases). tRNAs cope with the degeneracy of the genetic code in two manners: having more than one tRNA (with a specific anti-codon) for a particular amino acid; and 'wobble' base-pairing, i.e. permitting non-standard base-pairing at the 3rd anti-codon position.
Source: RNAcentral